Dermochelys coriacea (leatherback sea turtle) is the source of this 2189-nucleotide long non-coding RNA. RefSeq lists it as uncharacterized. The record is from RefSeq and is a predicted model, not a curated record. Lineage: Eukaryota; Metazoa; Chordata; Testudines; Dermochelyidae. The transcript has 3 exons.
UGAGAUAAAGCCAGUGUCUCCACUGAGUCCAUGAUUUUAAGUGUCUAGCAAAGUUAUGAAUUAAAGCUCUCAGGCUGGUCUGAUCUUUCCCAGACCUGAAGAAGAGCUCUGUGCAACUCAAAAGCUUGUCUCUCUUACCAACAGAAGUUAUACAGUAAUUAUAUGUGGUUGAGGUUUUCUUUUUAUGAGAAUGUCAGCUUAUUCAUGCUGGAUGCCAGAACCAUUUUAUAAUCAUGCCCUGCAGUUCCAAUCAACCAUAUCACUUUUAAGAAACUCCUUUUAUAAAUAUAAGAAUGACCCCAUCAAAAGCAUGUACUUAUUUCUAGGAGAGACGGAAAGGAGAGAGAAAACAAAAAAAAUAAUAAACUUUCAAGAAACCUAACACAUUUUCCACCUCACUCCCCAGAACAUUGGGAUUCCUAUUACUGAUGUCAACGCCUACUUAGUAUUUUACUUUCUUACAAUUUUUAAAUGACAUUUAUUUAAACAACUUUUAAUUUUAACUCAACCAAAUCUUGGAUCUGUGUUACAUCUCAGUGAUGGGUCUUAUAUUUCCUUCCCACUGUAACAUGGCUCUGCACUUGGCCCAGCUGAUCCCAAGGAUAGUUGGGUUUGGUGCAAAAAGAAUCAGCGUGUGCUUUGAAUGUAUUCUUAGUGGAAAGGAGAGAUGCAGGAGAUAAUGCAGUCCUUUGCAGAUUCUAAACCUCUCAUCUGGACCUCAGAGGUUACUGCAACAUUAGGGACUGGAGCUUUCUUGCUGAGGCUUUUGAGGAUUCACAGGGAGGCUUUUUUCUCCCAGAUUCCAUUUUGAUGUCCUUUGAGAGUGCAGCCCAUUGCCUCCUCCAGUUGUUAGUCAUCUGAGGUAGAUGUUGCCUCCUGCAUGGACCUGAGAAACACUGCACACCUCCCACUGCUUCCCUAGCAUUCUUCUCCAAUAUCUGAAACAGGGGCUGUAUUACAAUAUGAUUGCCCCUCUGGACAGAGUAGGCUUCUUUAGCCUUAAAGCCUGACUGAACCUGACAUUCCAAUGGGCUGUGUGUCUGGAUAACCACUAAUUAUAAAAGAAACCCAAAAAACAAAAAAACCCCACCAAAACUUAAAUCAGCAAAAUUUCUGGGCACAGACAAAUAGCAACACAAAUGGCCAAUUAGCUGCACUGGAACCAAAAAACUUCUUAUACCCAGAAUAAACCCUUCUUCUGAACAGGACAGUCUGCAUAAUCUACAAUCAGAAAGAACUUGAAUAUUGGCUGGGCUGGUCAGGUUCAAAGUACUAGUGCUUAUCCCCUUGAGCUAUCCAGCUGGUGUAAAGCUCUCAGGGUCUUGCUACCAUUUUGCCCUACUUCUGACCAGAAGACUAACACAAUGUAGCUUUCUCAGAAACCACCACCAAGGGUUAACUCUAAAAUGAUUAACAGGAAGAUGUUCAGACAGCUGUUCACCCUUUCCUUGAAAUCUAACUAUACUAUCUCAGACAUAUCCAAACCUCAUGGACCCAGAUCUGAGAAAUCAUCUGGUAGCUCUUGAAUCAAUUCUUUGUCCUAUAGCAGUAUAUCACAUUGCUUCACAAUCACACUGGUGUGAUUCUCAGCAAGUUAUUCAAAUAAUGGGUUCAUUUAGAUGUAUUAAUAAAAAAGUCUUUCCUAUAUGCCAUGUAAGUAAUGUGUGAAUUCUGUUAUGCAUCAGAUAAUUAACUGAGAUACCAGCUUUUGACCUUACACCGUGCUCUUCUUCAGGUCUUCAGCUCUGUGACCACUUGAAAGCUUGUCUCUCUCACUAACAGAAGUUGAUCCAGUAAAACAUAUUACCUCACCCACUUUGUCUCUCUAAUAUCCUAGAACCAAUACAGCUACAUCACUGAAUACAUAAUUAACUGACUUGAGAAAACAGUUUCCUCAUUGUAGCAAACCAAUGUAUACCCAGCUAUUUUAGAUGAGGAAUGUUCCUUUGGGCAGAAUGAGUGGAGGGUCAAUGGUUUCAUAGACCACCCACCCAGCUAAGGUCACCAUCUGGGUGUGAAAUUAAUAGAAAAUUGGUUAGCAGCAGCAUGCAGCAACAUUGUUACAGUUGAGAAGAAAUCUUGUGAUUAUCUAUCAAUGCCAUCAACUAGAGUACAUGUAACAAACAAAAAGCCAGAAAAAAAAAUCCUGUAGCUCAUUAAAUGGAGGACUUCAGUAGUUUAACUAAACC